GAAUUCGCCCUUAGAGUUUGAUCCUGGCUCAGGACGAACGCUGGCGGCGUGCCUAACACAUGCAAGUCGAGCGGGGAACUGCGGAAUGCGACUUCGGUCAAAUGAAACAGUUUCUAGCGGCGGACGGGUGAGUAACGCGUGAGCAACCUGCCUAUCACAGGGGAAUAACGCAUCGAAAGGUGUGCUAAUACCGCAUGAGACCACAGGAUCGCAUGGUCAAGGGGUCAAAGAUUUAUCGGUGAUAGAUGGGCUCGCGUCUGAUUAGCUGGUUGGUGAGGUAACGGCCCACCAAGGCGACGAUCAGUAGCCGACCUGAGAGGGUGAUCGGCCACAUUGGAACUGAGAAACGGUCCAAACUCCUACGGGAGGCAGCAGUGGGGAAUAUUGGGCAAUGGGCGCAAGCCUGACCCAGCAACGCCGCGUGAAGGAAGAAGGUCUUCGGGUCGUAAACUUCUAUCCUUGGUGAAGAUAAUGACGGUAGCCAAGAAGGAAGCCCCGGCUAACUACGUGCCAGCAGCCGCGGUAAUACGUAGGGGGCAAGCGUUGUCCGGAAUGAUUGGGCGUAAAGGGCGCGUAGGCGGCCUGUUAAGUCUGGAGUGAAAUUCCUGCUUUUAAGGUGGGAACUGCUUUGGAUACUGAUGGGCUUGAGUGCAGGAGAGGUAAGCGGAAUUCCCGGUGUAGCGGUGAAAUGCGUAGAGAUCGGGAGGAACACCAGUGGCGAAGGCGGCUUACUGGACUGUAACUGACGCUGAGGCGCGAAAGUGUGGGGAGCAAACAGGAUUAGAUACCCUGGUAGUCCACACUGUAAACGAUGAAUGCU
Molecule: ribosomal RNA, 820 nt
Filed under: uncultured bacterium
Lineage: Bacteria
Description: bacterial SSU rRNA
Rfam family: Bacterial small subunit ribosomal RNA
Source: RNAcentral